AACGCUGGCGGCGUGCCUAAUACAUGCAAGUCGAACGAGUUCUCGUUGAUGAUCGGUGCUUGCACCGAGAUUCAACAUGGAACGAGUGGCGGACGGGUGAGUAACACGUGGGUAACCUGCCCUUAAGUGGGGGAUAACAUUUGGAAACAGAUGCUAAUACCGCAUAGAUCCAAGAACCGCAUGGUUCUUGGCUGAAAGAUGGCGUAAGCUAUCGCUUUUGGAUGGACCCGCGGCGUAUUAGCUAGUUGGUGAGGUAAUGGCUCACCAAGGCGAUGAUACGUAGCCGAACUGAGAGGUUGAUCGGCCACAUUGGGACUGAGACACGGCCCAAACUCCUACGGGAGGCAGCAGUAGGGAAUCUUCCACAAUGGACGCAAGUCUGAUGGAGCAACGCCGCGUGAGUGAAGAAGGCUUUCGGGUCGUAAAACUCUGUUGUUGGAGAAGAAUGGUCGGCAGAGUAACUGUUGUCGGCGUGACGGUAUCCAACCAGAAAGCCACGGCUAACUACGUGCCAGCAGCCGCGGUAAUACGUAGGUGGCAAGCGUUAUCCGGAUUUAUUGGGCGUAAAGCGAGCGCAGGCGGUUUUUUAAGUCUGAUGUGAAAGCCCUCGGCUUAACCGAGGAAGCGCAUCGGAAACUGGGAAACUUGAGUGCAGAAGAGGACAGUGGAACUCCAUGUGUAGCGGUGAAAUGCGUAGAUAUAUGGAAGAACACCAGUGGCGAAGGCGGCUGUCUGGUCUGUAACUGACGCUGAGGCUCGAAAGCAUGGGUAGCGAACAGGAUUAGAUACCCUGGUAGUCCAUGCCGUAAACGAUGAAUGCUAGGUGUUGGAGGGUUUCCGCCCUUCAGUGCCGCAGCUAACGCAUUAAGCAUUCCGCCUGGGGAGUACGACCGCAAGGUUGAAACUCAAAGGAAUUGACGGGGGCCCGCACAAGCGGUGGAGCAUGUGGUUUAAUUCGAAGCAACGCGAAGAACCUUACCAGGUCUUGACAUCUUUUGAUCACCUGAGAGAUCAGGUUUCCCCUUCGGGGGCAAAAUGACAGGUGGUGCAUGGUUGUCGUCAGCUCGUGUCGUGAGAUGUUGGGUUAAGUCCCGCAACGAGCGCAACCCUUAUGACUAGUUGCCAGCAUUUAGUUGGGCACUCUAGUAAGACUGCCGGUGACAAACCGGAGGAAGGUGGGGAUGACGUCAAAUCAUCAUGCCCCUUAUGACCUGGGCUACACACGUGCUACAAUGGAUGGUACAACGAGUUGCGAGACCGCGAGGUCAAGCUAAUCUCUUAAAGCCAUUCUCAGUUCGGACUGUAGGCUGCAACUCGCCUACACGAAGUCGGAAUCGCUAGUAAUCGCGGAUCAGCACGCCGCGGUGAAUACGUUCCCGGGCCUUGUACACACCGCCCGUCACACCAUGAGAGUUUGUAACACCCGAAGCCGGUGGCGUAACCCUUUUAGGGAGCGAGCCGUCUAAGGUGGGACAAAUGAUUAGGGUGAA
Molecule: ribosomal RNA, 1490 nt
Filed under: Lacticaseibacillus casei
Lineage: Bacteria; Bacillati; Bacillota; Bacilli; Lactobacillales; Lactobacillaceae
Description: bacterial SSU rRNA
Rfam family: Bacterial small subunit ribosomal RNA
Source: RNAcentral